This 499-nucleotide unclassified non-coding RNA is filed under the name uncultured Glomus. Its description in RNAcentral is "SSU rRNA". It matches the Rfam family "Eukaryotic small subunit ribosomal RNA", at positions 591 to 1092 of the family's 1831-position model. The record is from RNAcentral. Lineage: Eukaryota; Fungi; Glomeromycota; Glomeromycetes; Glomerales; Glomeraceae.
CCAAUAGCGUAUAUUAAAGUUGUUGUAGUUAAAAAGCUCGUAGUUGAAUUUCGGGAUCAAGUCGUCGGUCGUGCCUCGGUACGCACUGGUGACAUUGGUUUCUCCCUUCUGAAGAACCUUGAUGUCAUUAAUUUGGUGUCUUGGGGAAUCAGGACUGUUACUUUGAAAAAAUUAGAGUGUUUAAAGCAGGCUCACGCUUGAAUACAUUAGCAUGGAAUAAUGAAAUAGGACAUUUGAUUCUAUUUUGUUGGUUUCUAGGAUCGACGUAAUGAUUAAUAGGGAUAGUUGGGGGCAUUAGUAUUCAAUUGUCAGAGGUGAAAUUCUUGGAUUUAUUGAAGACUAACUACUGCGAAAGCAUUUGCCAAGGAUGUUUUCAUUAAUCAAGAACGAAAGUUAGGGGAUCGAAGACGAUCAGAUACCGUCGUAGUCUUAACCAUAAACUAUGCCGACUAGGGAUCGGAUGAUGUUAAUUUUUUAAUGACUCAUUCGGCGCCUUACG